Molecule: ribosomal RNA, 750 nt
Filed under: uncultured low G+C Gram-positive bacterium
Lineage: Bacteria; Bacillati; Bacillota
Description: bacterial SSU rRNA
Rfam family: Bacterial small subunit ribosomal RNA
Source: RNAcentral
AGAGUUUGAUCCUGGCUCAGGACGAACGCUGGCGGCGUGCUUAACACAUGCAAGUCGAACGGAGUUAAGACUUCGGUUUUAACUUAGUGGCGAACGGGUGAGUAACGCGUGAGGAACCUGCCUCUCAGUGGGGGACAACAGUUGGAAACGACUGCUAAUACCGCAUAAUGUCAUGAACUGGCAUCGGUUUAUGACCAAAGAUUUAUUGCUGAGAGAUGGCCUCGCGUCUGAUUAGCUAGUUGGUGGGGUAACGGCCCACCAAGGCGACGAUCAGUAGCCGGACUGAGAGGUUGACCGGCCACAUUGGGACUGAGAUACGGCCCAGACUCCUACGGGAGGCAGCAGUGGGGAAUAUUGGGCAAUGGGCGAAAGCCUGACCCAGCAACGCCGCGUGAAGGAAGAAGGCCUUCGGGUUGUAAACUUCUUUUACCAGGGACGAACACAAUGACGGUACCUGGAGAAAAAGCAACGGCUAACUACGUGCCAGCAGCCGCGGUAAUACGUAGGUUGCAAGCGUUGUCCGGAAUUACUGGGUGUAAAGGGCGUGUAGGCGGAGAUGCAAGUUGGGAGUGAAAUCCAUGGGCUCAACCCAUGAACUGCUUUCAAAACUGCAUCCCUUGAGUAUCGGAGAGGCAAGCGGAAUUCCUAGUGUAGCGGUGAAAUGCGUAGAUAUUAGGAGGAACACCAGUGGCGAAGGCGGCUUGCUGGACGACAACUGACGCUGAGGCGCGAAAGCGUGGGAGCAAACAG